Molecule: ribosomal RNA, 909 nt
Filed under: uncultured bacterium
Lineage: Bacteria
Description: bacterial SSU rRNA
Rfam family: Bacterial small subunit ribosomal RNA
Source: RNAcentral
AGAGUUUGAUCCUGGCUCAGGAUGAACGCUAGCGGGAGGCUUAACACAUGCAAGUCGAGGGGUAACAGGGGUAGCAAUACCUGCUGACGACCGGCGUACGGGUGAGUAACGCGUAUGCAACCUGCCCUAUACAGGAGGAUAGCCCGGAGAAAUUCGGAUUAAUACUCCAUGUAGCAUUUUUUUCGCAUGAAUUAGAUGUUAAAGAUUUAUCGGUAUAGGAUGGGCAUGCGUCCCAUUAGCUAGUUGGUGAGGUAACGGCUCACCAAGGCAUCGAUGGGUAUGGGGUCUUAAAGGAUGGUCCCACACACUGGCACUGAGACACGGGCCAGACUCCUACGGGAGGCAGCAGUGAGGAAUAUUGGUCAAUGGGUGAGAGCCUGAACCAGCCAUCCCGCGUGCAGGAUGACGGUCCUAGUGAUUGUAAACUGCUUUUCUAUGAGAUGAAUAAGAAUUACGUGUAGUUCGAUGACCGUAUUAUAGGAAUAAGCAUCGGCUAACUCCGUGCCAGCAGCCGCGGUAAUACGGAGGAUGCAAGCGUUAUCCGGAUUUAUUAGGUUUAAAGGGUGCGUAGGUGGGCGUUUAAGUCAGUGGUUAAAGCCAUUAGCUUAACUAAUGUAUGCCAUUGAUACUGGAUGUCUUGAAUGUGGUAGAGGUAGGCGGAAUGUGUUGUGUAGCGGUGAAAUGCUUAGAUAUAACACAGAACACCGAUUGCGAAGGCAGCUUACUAUUCCAUUAUUGACGCUGAUGCACGAAAGCGUGGGGAUCAAACAGGAUUAGAUACCCUGGUAGUCCACGCUGUAAACUAUGAUCACUCGUUUUUGGCGAUAUAUAGUCAGAGACUGAGCGAAAGCAUUAAGUGAUCCACCUGGGGAGUACGUUCGCAAGAAUGAAACUCAAAUGAAUUGACGG